This 922-nucleotide ribosomal RNA is filed under the name uncultured bacterium. RNAcentral's name for it is "bacterial SSU rRNA". It matches the Rfam family "Bacterial small subunit ribosomal RNA", at positions 69 to 984 of the family's 1533-position model. The record is from RNAcentral.
GCAGCACGGAGCUUGCUCUGGUGGCGAGUGGCGAACGGGUGAGUAAUGCGUCGGAACGUAUCCAAUAAUGGGGGAUAACGCAGCGAAAGCUGUGCUAAUACCGCAUACGCCCUCCGGGGGAAAGCAGGGGAUCUUCGGACCUUGCGUUAAUGGAGCGGCCGACGUCUGAUUAGCUAGUUGGUAGGGUAAAGGCCUACCAAGGCGACGAUCAGUAGCUGGUCUGAGAGGAUGAUCAGCCACACUGGGACUGAGACACGGCCCAGACUCCUACGGGAGGCAGCAGUGGGGAAUUUUGGACAAUGGGCGCAAGCCUGAUCCAGCCAUUCCGCGUGAGUGAAGAAGGCCUUCGGGUUGUAAAGCUCUUUCAGGAGGGAAGAAACGAUUGUGGCUAAUACCCAUGAUUAAUGACGGUACCUUCAGAAGAAGCACCGGCUAACUACGUGCCAGCAGCCGCGGUAAUACGUAGGGUGCGAGCGUUAAUCGGAAUUACUGGGCGUAAAGCGUGCGCAGGCGGUUUUUCAAGUCUGAUGUGAAAUCCCCGGGCUUAACCUGGGAACUGCGUUGGAAACUGAAAGACUAGAGUGCGGCAGAGGGGGGUAGAAUUCCACGUGUAGCAGUGAAAUGCGUAGAUAUGUGGAGGAAUACCGAUGGCGAAGGCAGCCCCCUGGGUCGACACUGACGCUCAUGCACGAAAGCGUGGGUAGCAAACAGGAUUAGAUACCCUGGUAGUCCACGCCCUAAACGAUGUCAACUAGUUGUUGGGGAGGGAGACCUCCUUAGUAACGCAGCUAACGCGUGAAGUUGACCGCCUGGGGAGUACGGUCGCAAGAUUAAAACUCAAAGGAAUUGACGGGGGCCCGCACAAGCGGUGGAUUANGUGGAUUAAUUCGAUGCAACGCGAAAAACCUUAUCUACCCNUUGA